Molecule: RNA transcript, 2320 nt
Organism: Choloepus didactylus (southern two-toed sloth)
Lineage: Eukaryota; Metazoa; Chordata; Mammalia; Pilosa; Megalonychidae
Gene: TFB1M
Gene name: transcription factor B1, mitochondrial
Exons: 8
Source: RefSeq, a predicted model, not a curated record
GGCUCGUGGUAAUUUCUCUAAGGUCCUCCCACGCGGGUGUUUUCGGAGAAAAGUCCCCCAGGUGAGGCCUGAGUACCGUUUGCCGGGGCUAAUGGCCUCACCUGGUACAUUGAACGCUUUCCGCCUUCCGCCGUUGCCCACGAUUCGAGAGAUUAUUAAGUUGUUCAAACUACAAGCAGUGAAGCAGCUCUCCCAGAAUUUCCUCCUGGACUUGAGGCUGACAGAUAAAAUUGUAAGAAAAGCUGGCAAUCUGACAAAUGCUUAUGUUUAUGAAGUUGGUCCUGGGCCAGGGGGAAUCACAAGAUCCAUUCUCAAUGCCCGUGUUGCUGAACUUCUGGUGGUUGAAAAGGACACUCGAUUUAUUCCUGGAUUACAGAUGCUUUCUGAAGCAGCACCUGGAAAAUUGAGAAUUGUCCAUGGAGAUGUGUUGACAUACAAGAUAGAAAAGGCUUUUCCAGAAAGUCUUAAAAGACAGUGGGAGGAUGAUCCUCCAGAUGUGCAUAUUAUUGGAAAUCUUCCGUUUAGUGUAUCAACUCCACUGAUUUUCAAGUGGCUUGAAAAUGUUUCUUGUAGAAAUGGACCUUUUGCUUAUGGCAGAACCCAGAUGACUUUGACUUUUCAAAAGGAAGUGGCAGAGAGGCUCACAGCCAGCAAAGGAAGCAAGCAGCGUAGUCGGCUCUCCAUCAUGGCCCAGUACCUCUGCCAUGUUCGGAAUAGCUUUACAAUUCCAGGUCGAGCAUUUGUCCCCAAGCCAAAGGUGGAUGUGGGAGUGGUACACUUCACUCCCUUGGUGCAACCCAAGAUCGAGCAGCCAUUCAAGCUGGUGGAAAAAGUCGUGCAGAAUGCAUUUCAGUUCCGAAGGAAAUACUGCCAUCGAGGGCUUGGAAUGUUAUUUCCUGAAGCUCAGCGCUUAGAAAACACUGGAAAACUGUUAAAGUUGGCAGACGUGGACCCGACUCUUCGGCCCUAUCAGCUCUCUGUCUCCCAUUUUAAGAGCCUCUGUGAUGUGUACAGAAAAAUGUGUGAGGAAGAUCCACUCCUCUUUGCUUAUAACUUCAGAGAAGAACUGAGGCACAGUAAAGGCACAAAACCGGGAAAAGAGGACAAGACAGAGAAUUACAGAUUCUAGCAGCUACUUUAGGUGCAAACAGCCUACAGAAAGUUGAUCUGCACAAUGCUGGGCAUCUUAUAUGUGUAUUUUGUCUUCUACAGAAUAAAAAUACCAAUUACCAGUUACAAGGACCUCAGCCUUCAACACCCAGCUCCCAGCAGCCUGAACCUUUGGAAUGCACAGAGGUGACGCUCCCAUCUCACAGGCAUGGCAUUUGGACCCCCUUUGGCAGUGAUCAGCGCCUGAGUGCCAUAAAGAUUGUGCACAGGAACCCAGGUGCAUUUCGUUUUGAGAAUGCCACUGCACACACAACUGUCCUUUGGGUUUCACCAGCUAGCACCGGUUGACCAGCUAUUGAGAAUGCAGACCUGAAUGGAAAUAUAUCACUUUGCUAGAGGUUCUGUUACAAGGGCAAAAUCUACAACUUCCAACCCACGCAGUUUUGAAUUUUGACUUUGAUUACCAUUUUGAAUGUAAUUACUAGACCAAAUGGCCGGUGAGAUAAUCAUCUUUAUGACAAAGGAGGAGUUGCACAAACAAUUGGUAUACUUUUAUUUUACUAUAUACUGCCAAGAAGAAAGUGUUCCUGGUAGGAAAUGCCAGAGGAGUCAGACCUUUGUUUAAAGCCACUAAAGGAGGAUUUGGAAUGGAUAUUCAGAAGCUAAAGGUCUUAUUCAUUUGAAGCAAUCCCACCACUCAGGAUUCCAUUUUUUAAACCUGAGCCUUUUCUUUGGGGACACCAUGAAGAUCUGGAUGUAAUCCAAAUGGCAAAGCUGCAUCAGGGGAAUUGGUUACAUACUAUGAAUGCCAGGAUAAACUUCUACACAACCGCCAAGACACUGUGGAGAAACCAUGCCCGGGUUUUUAGAAAACAAAAACAAAAACAAAAACAAAAAAACAAAAACAGGAAAACAUCAAAAAGCAGCCUCUGGAUCCUUUUUGACAAUGCUAUCUGAAGCAGUUGAUGACAAACAGAGGAGUGGCUGCCUUUUAUCAGGUGGCUUGGAAUUUAGCUUGGCUGCUGUUACCCUGUUGGAGCAACCAAGAGUUCAAAGUACAGAACCCUCUUCAAACAGAUGCCACUGUCCUGGUAGAGAGCCCAGUUCACUGGCUUCCAGAGAAGUGGCAAAUCACCUGGGAGGGAACCCUGGGAGGUCAUCCUCAAGUCUGAAGAAGGCAGUCAGGUCCUCGAGAGAGUCAUUUUUAUGC